AAUACCCUACGGUCGAAAAAAAACGGCGUCAUGAACGGCUGGGGAAUGACGAUGACAAUUUUUGCGAACUCAAGCCCUAGACUUCAUUUUCUUGGCCCGUCCUCUUCUUUAUUGUUUAAUGGCGCUUACUGCCAGUUGCCCUUAAGAAGGUUGUAAUUUAUUUUUAUAUUGAGUAAAAACGAUUUUUAAAUGGCGUAGUUUAAAAUUACGGGAAAAAAUAUUUUUUGGAAAUAGAUUUGUGUGUCUAGAACCGUUCUAACCUUUUUUAUAAACUUCUUUCUAUAAUUGGUGUUAAUAUUGAAGUUUUAUGUAAAAUUUUACUAAAUGACGUCUAGAGAUUGACCUCGCCAAGAUUAUCAUCGAUUGUCAUUCCCCAGACGCCUUUGACGUAGUUUUUUUACUUUUUUUAAAUCACAUGUUAUAACCUUCUUAGUUUUUGAGCUACAGGGUGAUUUUGAUAAAUGCUUUUAACCGUCCCUUGUAUUCAGAUAUAAAAACUUAUUGUAAAUGUAAAAACAUAAUUCAGUGUAACGUUCUUUUUAAACGCAAAUGUUUUUAUCUUAAAAAAAUAUUUUUAAAUUCUGAUUAUCUCUAAUGGACAAACUAAGUACUUUUUUAUAGAGAUAAAUUGUGUGCAAUUACCUUAUUUUGAUUGACAACCUGUACAUAAAAUAUAUAAAAUACACCUUCCGUUUAUAACUGAAGAACAUAAUUUCAUCUGAAAGAAUUUUUUAUAAAAAUUCGUUUUUGCUUAUAACUUUUUAAAUAUUUAUAAAAAUGAUUCUGUAGCUUAGAAACUAGGAGGGCUGGGAUAAUACAUUUAUCACAGUCCUCUUCCUCAUAUCUGUAAUUUCAUCAAUAAGAAGCCAACUAUUGCGCAAAUCUCAACUUUUUCUCUAUCUCCGUUCAUAAGCUAGAAACUCCCUAAAGCACGAACGAAUGAAAAUGACACACCCUGUACAGGUUAGCAAUUUACUUUGUCCAAUUUUUUAUAAUAGCAGUGGUAUAAACACUGGACUAAAAUAAUAUUUUCUUUUUUUAGGCCAAAAAAUAAAGUUAAACCUUUUUAAAAGCGAAAUGAAAUAAAAGCUAACACUAUACAGAGUGUCCCAUUUUGGUAGCAAAUGUGGUUCUCUAUCUUUAUUAAUAAAGAUAGAGAACCUUGGGGUUGUCACCGAUCCUUACUACUUCUUUGUAAAAUUUAAUGUGCCAAACAAAAUUCUCGCGGCCUGCUUUGUUUUCCUGCUACAGGAUGUUACUAAAAAUGCAGUUUUUUUCUACCCUGACAAGAAGUUGAAUUAUUUCUUCUGGUAAGCACAUACUUUAGUGGAAAUCAAAACGGGGAGAAGAAACACACGAGAUUAAUUGGUAUGAGCUGUAGUAAGGAGCUUGUGUGUUUGUUUUCGCUGUUCUGCUCUCCGCUCCUGUAUAUGCUUAGCUUUAUACUUUAUGUGGAAUCCAGUGUCUUAGUUUUUUCCUUAAUAUUUCUGUUUGUGAAAUAUCGACCAUUGUUUAGUUUUUUUUAAAUAGGGCGCUUCAUGUGUAUUUAUCUAGAAAUUAAUUUGUCUUUUUACAAGCUUCCAAAAAUUCAUUUUAUAUUAGCCUCCUAAAUAUUUGCAGAAGGCCAUGCACACAAUGCUGCCCCUUGACUGUGAUUAUAUGAUUAUAUGUUUUUUUUUGUUUUCUUUACUGUUUAUUUUUGAUUGGUGUUGAUUAAUCCAUUCAAAUGAUCUAUUUAGUUCUUAUCAAAUAUACAGGGUGUCUUAUUUAAAAAUUAACUAAAUAUGGUCUUGAUAGAUAAAAUUAGAUGGAUAAAAAAUAAGCCCGCGGAUUCUACGUAAAAGGUUCUAUUUUAACGAUUCGUAUACAUGUUAUGCUAACGAUAUACGAGGGGUGUCUGAAAUGCAGUCUUGUUCUUAUCGUCCUGUAGCAUGGAAAUUAAGAAGGCUAUGUCGAUUUCGCUUAAAAGUAUCUCGAAAUUUACACAAACCGCAAGAUUCUAUCUUUAUUAAUCAAAAAAUGUAGUUUGGAGCGUAGCGUUUAGAGUUAAAGGCGUUAGAGUUUUGGGUUCAUGGCAUUUGAUUUUUGGGUUGAUGACAGUUGAUUUUUAUGUAAAACAUCAUCGAUUGCCAUUUUCAAGCCAAUGCUGACGCCUUUUAUUUUUGCGACAAAUUUUAUUUGUUGUUUAUUUUCCUGUAACAGCACGUUUUUCGAAAUCGCUGUAAGAAACUUACAGCAAAUUCUUACUUCUUAGAACUUGCUGUAAGAUACAGCGCGUUCAAAAGGCCGGUUUACUCGUUGCUGCUGAAACGCAUAGUUACACCGCACUAAGGCGGGUUGACGCGGUCCAAGUGCACUUGGACCAAGUGCUGCCAUAUAAGUGUAGUUUAUGGAUGCUGCGCGCAUCUCACUUGUACGCUGUUUGUAUCGUAUCAACUGUUUUAUCCAAGUCGAGUUGGAAAGCUUCAUAUCAUCCUACAAAGCUUUCCAAUUCGACUUUGAUAAAA
Molecule: long non-coding RNA, 2507 nt
Organism: Sitophilus oryzae (rice weevil)
Lineage: Eukaryota; Metazoa; Arthropoda; Insecta; Coleoptera; Curculionidae
Exons: 2
Source: RefSeq, a predicted model, not a curated record